AACAUGUCGGUGAGGGCGAGUUGGUUUAUCUUUAGAACCAACUACAGCUUCUUCUGUUGUAUUUGUUUCUCUGUCUUGCAUUGUUUCAGUUGCGCUGUUUCAGACAUCAUCAUCAUCCUAUAUUUAUGUCCACUGCAGGGCGAAGGCCUCUCCCGGCUGUCUCCAAUUACCCCCGUCUUGCGCUAGCUAAUUCCAACUUAAUUGUACACGGUUAAGAGUUAUUUCUUUGCAAAUAUAUGUUCGUAUUGUGCAAUCUAUGUGCUAGGUAAUCAACUUUGACACCGAACUUUACUUCAAACAUUACCCUGAAACUUACAUUUCCGCUCAUCGUCAUAUACAGCCGAGUAUUGUAUUCUGAAAAAAAAAUCAAAAGAAAAAAUGUUAAGCAAUGCUGACUUUUAUAAUACAUACAAAAAGCGUUUUGUGUAAGCAUCGCUAUAGAAAACAGAGUAUGUCGCUAAAAGUGACCUUUCUUCUAUUCCUACCAUUAUGUGAAUGAAACCACCUUACCAAUUGCGCGUUGUUCAUUUCAACGUGAACUAAACACGUUCUGAUACUUGGUGACUUCUUUUAAAGUGAAGCGUUUAGUGAAGCUAGCGGAUUCUCUCGUGCAAAUUGCUUCGCUGCUUUUUGUACAAUGUUUCUGUGUCUCUUGGUUUCCUCGAUUGCUGACUGGUUGAUGCUUCCGUCCACUUUAAAUCCAAGCGCUUCUGGAGGCUUACGUUACCUACGAGUCUCACUGGGUGAACCUUUUGCAUUCCAUACGGAUGUGCUGAGUGUUCCCGGAUUUUACCUGCGGCAUACAUUUGCCUUAUCUAAGGAACCGGCCAGCCCAUUUGCACUAGCCGCCCAACUCAUGAUCUGCGUGUGAUUCAGGGGCACCAGGACAAUGUACCACAGGAUUGUAAAGAUAAAUAUGACAAAGAAAGAGGCACAGUAAGAGCAGACGUGGUGAAAUAUAACGCAGAAGACUGCAAGAAAUAUCAGCAGACGAAGAAUGACUGAGAUGCCGCUGCUUUAUACAGUAGAAAAGUUUAUUUGAUCAGCGCAAAUAUAAAUGCAAUAAAAAUACAACUAUUAUCAUUAUCUCUGAAAACGAAUAACUGCGGUAGUAAAAAAAUACGUUUCAGAGAAGUAGCUAUAAUAAAGUAUACAUCUACAUGAGUAA
Molecule: long non-coding RNA, 1168 nt
Organism: Dermacentor silvarum
Lineage: Eukaryota; Metazoa; Arthropoda; Arachnida; Ixodida; Ixodidae
Exons: 3
Source: RefSeq, a predicted model, not a curated record